AUUGAACGCUGGCGGCAUGCUUUACACAUGCAAGUCGAACGGCAGCACGGGAGCUUGCUCCUGGUGGCGAGUGGCGAACGGGUGAGUAAUGCAUCGGAACGUACCUAUUAGUGGGGGAUAACGCUUCGAAAGGAGUGCUAAUACCGCAUACGACCUGAGGGUGAAAGUGGGGGACCGUAAGGCCUCACGCUAAUAGAUCGGCCGAUGUCUGAUUAGCUAGUUGGUGGGGUAAAGGCUCACCAAGGCGACGAUCAGUAGCGGGUCUUAGAGGACGAUCCGCCACACUGGAACUGAGACACGGUCCAGACUCCUACGGGAGGCAGCAGUGGGGAAUCUUGGACAAUGGGCGCAAGCCUGAUCCAGCAAUGCCGCGUGGGUGAAGAAGGCCUUCGGGUUGUAAAGCCCUUUUGUUUGGGAGCAAAUCCUACUGGUUAAUACCCUGGGCCGAUGACGGUACCGUAAGAAUAAGCACCGGCUAACUACGUGCCAGCCGCCGCAGUAA
RNAcentral lists this ribosomal RNA (502 nucleotides) under uncultured bacterium. RNAcentral's name for it is "partial 16S ribosomal RNA". It matches the Rfam family "Bacterial small subunit ribosomal RNA", at positions 30 to 523 of the family's 1533-position model. The record is from RNAcentral.